AGGGCAGCAGAGGGAGGGGCGUAGCCCGCCUCCCGGAGAAGGGCGGAGGGAUCCUCGUGGGAGGUGCGCUGACACCACCGAGACGUGGCCGGGCAAGGCCGGAUUGAGGGAGAGAGAGGCCGUCCAGGGCCAGGGACAACGCUACUUCCGGUCUCCUCACUUCCGGCUUCGCUGCUUUUGGUUCUGGUUCUGGAGGCUGGGUUGAGAGGUCGCCGGUCCGACUGUCCUCGGCGGUUGGUCAGUGUGAAUUUGUGACAGCUGCAGUUGCUCCCCGCCCCCGAGCAGCCGAGGUGCGUGGGGGAAGGGGAAGAAGGAAAAGGUCCGGGUCGCGUUUCCGCUCACUUUUUGCCAGGGUUGAGGCGAUUCCAGAGAGCGGUGGAAAGGAUAAGCCUCGACUUAGAAGCUACCGAGUUACUCUAAGAAAGGAGUCUACCAUGGCUCAAGAAUCUCCCAAAAAUUCAGCAGCAGAAAUUCCAGUGACUAGUAAUGGAGAAGUUGAUGACUCUCGUGAACAUAGCUUUAAUAGGGAUUUGAAGCAUUCAUUACCAUCUGGACUUGGUCUCUCAGAAACCCAAAUUACAUCUCAUGGCUUUGACAAUACCAAAGAGGGUGUUAUUGAAGCAGGAGCAUUUCAAGGUUCCCCAGCACCGCCACUGCCAUCUGUUAUGUCUCCUAGCAGGGUUGCAGCUAGUCGACUGGCUCAGCAAGGAAGUGAUUUAAUUGUUCCUGCAGGUGGCCAGAGAACACAGACAAAAAGUGGACCAGUUAUUCUAGCAGAUGAAAUUAAAAAUCCUGCAAUGGAAAAGUUAGAACUUGUUAGAAAAUGGAGUCUAAACACCUAUAAGUGUACUCGACAGAUUAUCUCUGAGAAGCUAGGCCGUGGCUCAAGAACUGUGGACCUUGAACUUGAAGCUCAGAUUGAUAUAUUAAGGGAUAACAAGAAAAAAUAUGAAAAUAUUUUAAAACUGGCUCAAACAUUGUCGACCCAGCUUUUCCAGAUGGUACAUACCCAAAGGCAACUUGGAGAUGCAUUUGCUGACCUGAGUUUGAAGUCACUAGAACUUCAUGAAGAAUUUGGCUAUAAUGCCGAUACCCAGAAACUGCUGGCUAAAAAUGGAGAGACUCUUCUUGGGGCCAUUAAUUUUUUCAUUGCUAGUGUGAACACUUUGGUGAAUAAAACCAUUGAAGAUACAUUAAUGACUGUGAAACAGUAUGAAAGUGCCAGGAUUGAAUAUGAUGCAUAUCGCACUGAUUUGGAAGAACUGAAUCUUGGACCACGUGACGCAAACACUCUGCCAAAGAUUGAGCAGUCACAGCAUCUCUUCCAAGCACAUAAGGAAAAAUAUGAUAAAAUGCGCAAUGAUGUUUCUGUCAAAUUGAAAUUUCUAGAAGAAAAUAAGAAUUAGAGGCGCACUACAGGGAUUGGAAGGAGAUGGAAGUGAAUGAAAGUCAACUUGGAGAGGAUAAAAGGCAGAAUCCUGAUUACCUCACUCUUUGCUUUCAUGAGGCCAAAGCAUAGUCUCUCAGAAAUGCUUCUGUUUUCUGCAAUGUUUUCUGUUUGCAUGGAAAGAGGAGGCAAAAAGUUAAAGAAAAAUAUGCAGAUCAAUGUUAAAGUAUUGCACAAUCAGCUGGUCCUUUUCCACAAUGCCAUUGCCGCUUACUUUGCUGGGAAUCAGAAGCAGCUUGAACAGACACUUAAACAGUUCCAUAUCAAAUUGAAAACCCCUGGAGUGGAUGCCCCAUCUUGGCUUGAAGAACAGUAAAAUCACAGCGGAAAAUAAAAAGAAAGUCGCGUUGUUAUAUUUCUAAACAAACCUAACAAGAAUUAAGCAGAGUUGGGGGAAGUGGGAGGGGUGACAAGCAUUAUAGUGAUUCUUGCACAAACAGCUUUAAUUUUUCCGUUUUUCAUACUUUAACAAUUGAACUGUUAAGGGUGGUUUUAAUGUAAACAGUUUCUAUAAUCUGAACACAAUAAUUUUCCUUUUUGAGAAAUCCUUUUGUAUUGUGAGGGUUGAUGGCUAUUUCUGUAGUUUGAAAACAUCUAAUAGAGAUUUGCACUGACAAGAUAAAAAUUCAAGGUUUUUGGUCCUGGAAAUGAGGGCCGAUUGUAACUUUUCCAAAGGGAGGUUUACAUGAUUUGUAUCAACAUCAGAUAUUUUAUAUGUGAAUAUAUUAAACAUCUUUAAGAGAUUCAUUUUCAUGUAUUAAAGAAAAAAGAAACUAUUUUGCAGAGUAAAGUUAUAUGGUGUUCCUGCAGCGUCCACACAGAGGCAGCAGCUCUAAUGAAUGAUUAGCUUGUGGAGUUGUGGCAAAUACCUUUUUAAAAAUGAAUCUGUACCACUGUAAUUUUAUUUAGACUUUUUUUUAAAGACACAGAAAUCACACUGUCAUUUCUAUGAGGCUUUUAAGCUUAUGAAUUUGCUUCACCCAAAGUCAUUGGACAGUUACAUUUGCAAUUUCUUUUGGUUCAUAACAAAACCUGCUUAAGAGAAUUUUUUUUUUUUGACAGGUGGACGUGGGAAUGGAAAUUCUUAAUUGUUUCUGGAGUAGAAAUCUGUACUUAGAAAACUAGUUUUUGGGUCAGUUCCAUUUUGAUAGAAGUGAAUACAUAGACAGCUUUUAUUGACUUCCAUAUGUAACAAUACCGUUUAAGCCUUAAAUCACAGAUAUGUGCCUUCUCAGAUACAGUAAUUCUUGUUCAAGCAAUGUACAAAAUCCAUAAAGAAACCCCUGUUGGAUAAUGUUUGAUGUGUCUAUUCCUUCCAUGGAAUGGAGCACUAUGUAUGAAUGUUGGGUUUCUUUGUACUUGUUAAGCCACAUUUGAGGUUUAUGGUAAAAGUCAUCUUUUGAGUUUGCUCUUUGGUUUUUCUUCGUUCCUUUUGAGGAUUGGGAAAACAGAAGGAUUCUUUGAUUUGGGUAAUGAAGAGGUAAUUUGGGACAGUGUGGUGGUACCAGGAAGAAAGAGGAUUGGAAAGGCCAGUACUGUUUUAGUUGCUCGGCACUGUUGGUUUUGUUUUAAUGUGGUUGUCCUGUCCACUACAUGGUUCUAUCAGUAGUGUAAUCCAUUUUCAAUGUAAAGCUCUUUUAGUUUUUGUCAUAGACAUAAAUUAAUAUUUUGAGAGGCAUCCCUCACCUGUUCAUUUCUUCUGUGUUGAAAUGAAGUACUUAAAAUUACCGUUAUACAUGAACUUUGUGGACUGUAAGAUUUGUUAUAUAUGUUCAAAUGCCUUUUAGCUGGCUUUUUAAUUAAUAUGCCUGUUUUGAGUGCUUAAUACAAUGUAAUGUGAUUAUAAAUCAUACCUAUUUUAAAUCAUUCCUUCCUGUAUAUUUGUACUCAGAGAGCCUUAUUUUAUUCUUCCAGCAGAAUUACUACUUGUGAUAGUUCAUUUACAUUCCCCAGAAUGUGCCUCUAGUGUGAAUUUUGUAUUCUUAUUAAACGUGUUUGCUGCAGUAAA
Molecule: RNA transcript, 3455 nt
Organism: Pan troglodytes (chimpanzee)
Lineage: Eukaryota; Metazoa; Chordata; Mammalia; Primates; Hominidae
Gene: ARFIP1
Gene name: ADP ribosylation factor interacting protein 1
Exons: 10
Source: RefSeq, a predicted model, not a curated record